CCCCACUCCAGAGCCCUCAGAACAAACCAUUCAACUUCUCUACUAAGGGAGCACACUUCACAGAAAAGCAUGACUUCAUUUUGGCAUGAUUCGUCUGCAAAUCAGGGUUCCCUGAGUGGGAUGUCUACAUCAAAUCCCUCUUCUCAGGAAUAAGUUCACCGCGUUUUUAUGUGACUCAAAACUACAGCAAUUGGCUGGGAGAAGAAACUUUUUAAAGUUUUCCUUCUAUGUUUCUAGCCUCUUCCAUUCUAGCAGGAGACUGUCUUAUGUUACUUCAAGCAAACAGGUUAUGCUUUUAAGGUGAAAGAGGUGUGAUGAUGUUCUUGAAACCACUGUAGACCAUAAAUACAUAUCACCUAAAAGCAUGUGGCAUGAUAAAA
Long non-coding RNA from Mesocricetus auratus (golden hamster), 380 nucleotides. RefSeq lists it as uncharacterized. The record is from RefSeq and is a predicted model, not a curated record. Lineage: Eukaryota; Metazoa; Chordata; Mammalia; Rodentia; Cricetidae. The transcript has 2 exons.